UGGGGAAUUUUGGACAAUGGGCGAAAGCCUGAUCCAGCAAUGCCGCGUGUGUGAAGAAGGCCUUCGGGUUGUAAAGCACUUUUGUCCGGAAAGAAAUCCUUGGCUCUAAUACAGUCGGGGGAUGACGGUACCGGAAGAAUAAGCACCGGCUAACUACGUGCCAGCAGCCGCGGUAAUACGUAGGGUGCAAGCGUUAAUCGGAAUUACUGGGCGUAAAGCGUGCGCAGGCGGUUUGCUAAGACCGAUGUGAAAUCCCCGGGGCUCAACCUGGGAACUGCAUUGGUGACUGGCAGGCUAGAGUAUGGCAGAGGGGGGUAGAAUUCCACGUGUAGCAGUGAAAUGCGUAGAGAUGUGGAGGAAUACCGAUGGCGAAGGCAGCCCCCUGGGCCAAUACUGACGCUCAUGCACGAAAGCGUGGGGGAGCAAAACAGGAUUCAGAUACCCUGGUAGUCCACGCCCUAAACGAUGUCAACUAGUUGUUGGGGAUUCAUUUCCUUAGUAACGUAGCUAACGCGU
RNAcentral lists this ribosomal RNA (516 nucleotides) under uncultured bacterium. RNAcentral's name for it is "partial 16S ribosomal RNA". It matches the Rfam family "Bacterial small subunit ribosomal RNA", at positions 355 to 860 of the family's 1533-position model. The record is from RNAcentral.